Molecule: long non-coding RNA, 1658 nt
Organism: Zingiber officinale
Lineage: Eukaryota; Viridiplantae; Streptophyta; Magnoliopsida; Zingiberales; Zingiberaceae
Exons: 2
Source: RefSeq, a predicted model, not a curated record
AAACCUCCCACCCCGUGUUCACGUGUUCCCGACUCACAGAAACCCUAGCGCGGAGAUCCUCCUUGCAGCAAUCCUCCGUGCGGCGAACCUCCUUGCGGCGAUCCUCCCUUCGGCGAUCUUGCGGUGAUCUAGCAGCGUUCUUCCCUAUCGCGAAGGCUACCCCACCCGCGAACUCUUUCCCCCCUUCGCGAAGAGCUAGCGGCUUCCCCCUCGGAAGGUGUCCCAGUCGCGAACAUUCCCGACUCUUCUUGAAAAAGGCUGAUAUGGCUCGAUUAGAAGAAAUUAUGUGCUAAAGCAGCUUAAUGAGAUCCAUCCAAAAUAAAUUAAAUAUUUGAAUUAGGUUCUUGGUACUUAUGUUUUGAUAUACUUUGGAUUGAACUUGGAUGUAUCUUUUUGUUUGGAUUCAACUUGGAUGAAUUUUUUUUUUUUAAUGAACUUGGAUGUUAUUGGAUUGAACUUUAAUAGUGCUUAACAUUUCUUCAGUUUGGGCAGCCAUUCUGGUCCCUUGCCAUUCUUAUUGGAGCUUGGAUGAAUUUCCAAGCUAGAUCUUUAAUAUCUUUAAGAAAUUGAUAGUGCUUGAGAGAUACUUCUACUAUGAUUUUGUUUGGGAUGAAUAUUUAUAGGGUACAGUUUUAAUAUUUGAUCUUUAAUAUCUUGGUGUUGAGAAAUAAUUAGGAUUAUUUUUUCUUUUUGAAGUUGUUCAUAAGCAAACAUUGAGGGAAUUAAAUUUCUAAUCUCUUUUCAACUAUAUUUGUCCAAUUCAUAUUGUUUUGUUAUUAUAAGCUAAUUGAUACUUUAAUGAUUCAUGAUUAUUGGAUUAAUAUUUUGGUAAAACUUUCUGGUGGUAGAAUCAUGAAAUUGGGUGAGUUAAAUGGUUUGUCAAAUUAGUGGUAUACCUGAAAUCAAUUUAAGACGUGUUACUAAUUAUUGUUUAUUGUUUUUACUCACCACCAUGCCUUACCAUACUGCCCCAUUUUCGUCAUUUUUUUCCUAUCUGCCAUUCCAUCUGUUUUCUUCCGUAAUGUGGAACCACUGAGUUCUGAAAAAGUUAAGAAUUGAACAUGCGCUUCAAUCUUAUGAUUAAGUAUCUUACUGUUAGUCUAUGAUUUCCUAAUUUUUGUAUUAUCAUUGUCCACUAAUUCGAACAUUUUAGAUUCUAUAGUGGUAUGUGGUGCUUUCUCUAGAGUUGCUUCUGGUGCUCACCUGCAGUCACUGUAUACCACUUUGAAGUUCUGGGUCCACUUGAUGAUUGUCUUUGCUAUCAUGUGCCUGAAUUCAUCUGUUGGUCUUCAUCAUAAUUACAAAUUUUACAUUGUUUUUGGUUCCAUUUACAGCUUGUGUUAUUGGUAUCAAUUUACAUAAGUUGACCUCAGGUUUGCCUGACUUUUUUGGAACAAGUGUGAUCUUCUUGGUGUGAGUUUUGGUGCGAACAUUGUUGAUUUUGUUGCUCGAAAAGCAUUCGAGGCAGGAAAACUGAUUGAAUCGGUUAAGGUUGUCGCCCAGGUGUUGAUGUAUCCCUUCUUCGCAAGAACUGUUCCCAUCCAUUCUGAACUAAAGCUAACUGGUUGAAUUCUUUCUCGCUCUUUCCUUUUGUUUACCUGUGAAUUAAAAUUCAGAAACCUUGGAAUUACCAAAAAAGAGCUCGCUUUGUCAUAAAA